This 629-nucleotide long non-coding RNA is filed under the name Fukomys damarensis (Damara mole-rat). Its description in RNAcentral is "lncRNA (ENSFDAG00000032127.1)". The record is from RNAcentral. Lineage: Eukaryota; Metazoa; Chordata; Mammalia; Rodentia; Bathyergidae.
CUGAGAUACACUCUUCCUAAAGCUUCUACAAGAACAAGUGCCUUUAUGAUCUCUCUGAUGUUCCACCGCCGAGUAUGGCUUAGUUUCCUCUGCCAAGAAUGAGCAGGCAAAGGAUUAAAGGGAUGACAGAGACACCCCGACCAUCUUCCAAUGAGCGUGUGAAGCAGCAUUCCCAUCCUCACCCACAUAAGAACGGCUGCAGCCCCAAGUGGGAGCCUGCGAGUGAGCUUCUCAGGGUGGGUUUAGAGCAUACACACCCAGGUGCUCAUUUCUCCUGUGUGGAAAACAAAGAAAGCUAUCCAGCCUCCAGGCACACUGCUUUGCUCUUAAGGCCAAGUACCACUGGAUGAGAAUUUAUUGUGAGACUUUCCUAGAAGGCCUUUAGCUCUGACUGAUGCUUCAGAACAUUAGGCCAGAAAGAGAUGAUUCCAGUUCUUUCUUCCAAUAAGUCGGGAGUGAAUAAUUCAGAAAACUUUGCUGUAAACCGGGUAUGGUGGUGCAUGUCAGCACUCGGGAGACUGAGGCAGGAGGGUCACUCUGAGUCCAAGACCAGCCUGGGCUACACAGUGAGUUCCAAAGCAGUCUGAACUACAUAGUGAGACCCUGUCUCAAAACCCGAAAAAAGAAAG